UACGUAGGGUGCGAGCGUUAAUCGGAAUUACUGGGCGUAAAGCGUGCGCAGGCGGUUUUGUAAGUCAGAUGUGAAAUCCCCGGGCUCAACCUGGGAACUGCGUUUGAAACUGCAAGGCUAGAGUAUGGGAGAGGGAGGUAGAAUUCCACGUGUAGCAGUGAAAUGCGUAGAGAUGUGGAGGAACACCGAUGGCGAAGGCAGCCCCUGGGUCAAGAUUGACGCUCCAUGCACGAAGCGUGGGGAGCAACAAGG
Molecule: ribosomal RNA, 252 nt
Filed under: uncultured bacterium
Lineage: Bacteria
Description: partial 16S ribosomal RNA
Rfam family: Bacterial small subunit ribosomal RNA
Source: RNAcentral